Molecule: transfer RNA, 72 nt
Filed under: Cordylochernes scorpioides
Lineage: Eukaryota; Metazoa; Arthropoda; Arachnida; Pseudoscorpiones; Chernetidae
Description: tRNA-Glu
Rfam family: tRNA
About the family: Transfer RNA (tRNA) molecules are approximately 80 nucleotides in length. Their secondary structure includes four short double-helical elements and three loops (D, anti-codon, and T loops).
Source: RNAcentral
UCCCACGUAGUCUAGUGGCUAGGAUAUCUGGCUUUCACCCAGAAGGCCCGGGUUCGAUUCCUGGCGUGGGAA